UACGUAAAGUGCCAGCGUUGUCCGGAAUUACUGGGCGUAAAGAGUUCGUAGGCGGUUUGUCGCGUCGUUUGUGAAAACAGCAGCUCAACUGCUGGCUUGCAGGCGAUACGGGCAGACUUGAGUACUGCAGGGGAGACUGGAAUUCCUGGUGUAGCGGUGAAAUGCGCAGAUAUCAGGAGGAACACCGGUGGCGAAGGCGGGUCUCUGGCCAGUAACUGACGCUGAGGAACGAAAGCGUGGGUAACGAACAGGAUUAGAUACCCUGGUAGUCCACGCCGUAAACGGUGGGCGCUAGGUGUGGGUUCCUUCCACGGAAUCCGUGCCGUAGCUAACGCAUUAAGCGCCCCGCCUGGGGAGUACGGCCGCAAGGGUAAAACUCACAGCAAUUGACGGGGGCCCGCACAAGCGGCGGCCCAUGUGGAUUAAUUCGAUGCAACGCGAAGAACCUUACCUGGGUUUGACAUAUACCGGAAAGCUGCAGAGAUGUGGCCCCCCUUGUGGUCGGUAUACAGGUGGUGCAUGGCUGUCGUCAGCUCGUGUCGUGAGAUGUUGGGUUAAGUCCCGCAACGAGCGCAACCCCUAUCUUAUGUUGCCAGCACGUUAUGGUGGGGACUCGUAAGAGACUGCCGGGGUCAACUCGGAGGAAGGUGGGGACGACGUCAAGUCAUCAUGCCCCUUAUGUCCAGGGCUUCACACAUGCUACAAUGGCCAGUACAGAGGGCUGCGAGACCGUGAGGUGGAGCGAAUCCCUUAAAGCUGGUCUCAGUUCGGAUCGGGGUCUGCAACUCGACCCCGUGAAGUCGGAGUCGCUAGUAAUCGCAGAUCAGCAACGCUGCGGUGAAUACGUUCCCGGGC
RNAcentral lists this ribosomal RNA (855 nucleotides) under uncultured Rhodococcus sp. Its description in RNAcentral is "bacterial SSU rRNA". It matches the Rfam family "Bacterial small subunit ribosomal RNA", at positions 524 to 1379 of the family's 1533-position model. Lineage: Bacteria; Bacillati; Actinomycetota; Actinomycetes; Mycobacteriales; Nocardiaceae. The record is from RNAcentral.